GUGCAGAACCCACAGGUGUGGAUUUACUGGAGGGCUCACAGAAGGUGAUUCCAGCAGAUGCCAGCUGUGACCCUCCUGCUACUGUAAGGCUGUACAGCCAAGAAGUGCUGAGUCAGGAGGAAGUGAAAAUUAACUCCAGGUUGUCUGGACAUCCAAAAGCCCUGAGGAUUUCAGGAGUACCAAAGGCUGAGGAUGUUUCUAGACUAAACAACUCCAGCAAUUGCAUCAAAUGAGAAAAGUAGUUUUCCUCCUUCAGAGUAACAGCUGCACGACAGAGAAGUCCAAAGAAGCAAAAUGGGAUCAGAUGUGAAAAGUUUGGGUGUAACCCAUUGUAUUGCUCAUCUCUGACAGCCUCAAGACCCUGUGCCUACCUUCAGCCUGUAGAGAGACCCAGGCAUUCCCUUGAGGCACAAAAAGCCACAGUGCUCCAUGAACAUGGCAUAUCCAAAGAGGAGGAAAGAAGAGUUCCUACCAGAGUCUGUGUUGCUGAAGUUCCUCCAGGCUGUCUUCCUGCUGUCCCCAGCCCCAAGCCAACUUACUGCAGCCAUCCUGCACAAGGCAGCACUGCAAGGUGCUACAGGCUCAGGCCCAGAGAAUACGUAGCUACUCUGACUCAAAAUGAUGUGUGCAGGGAGCAACUAAGCAGGGCUGAUCUCCUGGUACCAGUCUGGAGACAGAUUGCCCAGAGCUUCUCUGCACUGCUGCACUGUGCACACCACCAACUCAUUUUUUGCACUGAACUGAGAAAACUCAGCUCAGGCCUAAGCUGGGAUUUACAAAGCCCCACAGGUUGAUUCCUAAGGAAACCAGCAAGAGCUGUCUUAUACCCCUCUGUUUUACAUUGCUUCUGGUAUUUAUGAGAAUAAGAGAUUGGAAAAAGCACUUGAUCUCUAAUUUUAAAUUUCAGAGAAUUUUCCCGUGAAUAGCUCUCCUUUCUCUUGUUGCAGUGCUGUGCAAGACAAACACAAAAGAGGGCACUAAUGCAGUCCCCAAGUAUUCAUAACAAAGAUCCCUUCUCCACGGUUCACACAAACCUCUUGACACAGCAA
This 1049-nucleotide long non-coding RNA is filed under the name Chrysolophus pictus (golden pheasant). RNAcentral's name for it is "lncRNA (ENSCPIG00010014285.1)". Lineage: Eukaryota; Metazoa; Chordata; Aves; Galliformes; Phasianidae. The record is from RNAcentral.